RNAcentral lists this ribosomal RNA (230 nucleotides) under uncultured bacterium. RNAcentral describes it as "partial 16S ribosomal RNA". It matches the Rfam family "Bacterial small subunit ribosomal RNA", at positions 568 to 796 of the family's 1533-position model. The record is from RNAcentral.
CUCGUAGGCGGCUAAUCAAGUCAUGUGUGAAAUCUCCCGGCUCAACCGGGAGGGGACAUGUGAAACUGUUUUGGCUUGAGUGCAGCAGGGGGAAGUGGAACUCCCGGUGUAGUGGUGACAUGCGUAGAUAUCGGGAGGAACACCAGUGGCGAAGGCGGCUUCCUGGGCUGUAACUGACGCUGAGGAGCGAAAGCGUGGGUAGCGAACAGGAUUAGAUACCCUGGUAGUCC